AUAAAGGGGGACGGUAGUGAAGACAGAGAAAAAGCGCUGGUGAGAAUCUUUUGAAUCCUUGUAAGGAGCUAAGGAGAGGUCACUAAGUGAGCCACAGAGGCAGACCGAGGCAGGGAAGUGAGCGGCAGUUGUGCAGCGGAGCUCCCCGCAGGGUUUAUCUGCCCAGCAGCUCUGCUUCCUGUGUGUCUGCAUGCUCGGUUCCCGGAGCAAAAAGCCGGUCCGCCGCCAGCGCACCUUGCUCCUCUCGGUCCAGCACAGCAGAGCUAGGAGGGCGCUGCAGACCCGGGCAAGCGCCGCGGCUCGCACGGUGACACCGUCAAGGCCGCGGUGCAGCAGCAGAUCUGACAAAUCCGCCCGGUGCACAGAGCGCCUGACGCGCCGUGAGGCCUGGGUGACUCACUGCAGGACGCCGUUCCGCACCCAGCGCCCCAUCCCUCGCUGGAGGCGGGGGCCGAGGCGCAGGCUGCCGGGAGACGGGAAGACGCCCCUGGAACUCAGCCAGGGGUAGCCUCCGGCUGCGAUUUUCUGCCUAAUGCAGUUUCUUUAUCAGGGAGCGCAACAAGUAGCAGUGGGGAGCUGACAGAAGAAAAGUUCUGGCCCCCGCAGCAACUGAGAUGGGGAAAAGGAACAGCGUGUAAUGUAGCGGAAGGCACACAGGAAGCCUGCAGCCUUAGUUUGGGACAACUUCUCUGCCUUUGCUAUGUUCAUAAUUGGGAAAGAGAAGUUAUCAGGACCUCUUCUAGCCCAUGAAAAAAAAAUGCUACCAAGAGUCCUCUAAAAGAAAAGAGAAGAAAAACUAAAAUGAUACUGAAGAUUGCACUUUCCAAGGGAAUGCACAAUAAUAGCCUUACAAAUAUUUCAUAAUUUUAAAAAUAGCUACAAAUGUCGUGGUCUACUGCAACAGUUUGAAAUUGUAUGUUAAUGUUUCCUAG
Molecule: long non-coding RNA, 932 nt
Organism: Nycticebus coucang (slow loris)
Lineage: Eukaryota; Metazoa; Chordata; Mammalia; Primates; Lorisidae
Exons: 3
Source: RefSeq, a predicted model, not a curated record